Molecule: long non-coding RNA, 509 nt
Organism: Chenopodium quinoa (quinoa)
Lineage: Eukaryota; Viridiplantae; Streptophyta; Magnoliopsida; Caryophyllales; Amaranthaceae
Exons: 4
Source: RefSeq, a predicted model, not a curated record
AUGUUCCUUUCUCAUUGCCAUUUGCCAUCACAACGACUCAUCUUCCUCCCAAGUCACGACCCCAAACCCCAGAAGCCCGCUGGUUUUCCUCAGUAAAUUGAAGUGAUGCUGAAUUAUUUGAAGAUUACUGUUACUGGAAUGAAGAUGAGAAAGACCUCCCAUGCGACCUGUGACAUGACUGCAAUGGUUCCCAGAAGCUGGAUCAUUGAGAAAGCUGCCAAAAACAAUCUUUGUGCCAUUUCCAAGUCCAAUAAUACACUUUGGUCAGAUGAUGCCUGCAUAAGAAAGUUUUCAUUGAAGCAAUGAGAGAGAAAAGCAGCAGAGUCUUUCACAUCAACAUCUGGGAUCUCAUCCUGCUCAAGUGGCUUCUCUUUCCCCAUGACAAACAAUGGGUUGAGCCAUGAGAAGAAUGCUGUUGGAGUGGAUCAAGGUUUAUUCGAACUGUACCAUCAAACAUUGUUGGAUCCUGUGGAAUGAUGCUGAGCCUUGAUCUCAAGUCAUGAAGACCU